This 578-nucleotide ribosomal RNA is filed under the name Fusarium sp. P1E4. Its description in RNAcentral is "eukaryotic LSU rRNA". The stretch from base 218 to 371 matches the Rfam family "5.8S ribosomal RNA". The record is from RNAcentral. Lineage: Eukaryota; Fungi; Ascomycota; Sordariomycetes; Hypocreales; Nectriaceae.
UCUUGGUCAUUUAGAGGAAGUAAAAGUCGUAACAAGGUCUCCGUUGGUGAACCAGCGGAGGGAUCAUUACCGAGUUUACAACUCCCAAACCCCUGUGAACAUACCUAUACGUUGCCUCGGCGGAUCAGCCCGCGCCCUGUAAAAAGGGACGGCCCGCCCGAGGACCCUAAACUCUGUUUUUAGUGGAACUUAUGAGUAAAACAAACAAAUAAAUCAAAACUUUCAACAACGGAUCUCUUGGUUCUGGCAUCGAUGAAGAACGCAGCAAAAUGCGAUAAGUAAUGUGAAUUGCAGAAUUCAGUGAAUCAUCGAAUCUUUGAACGCACAUUGCGCCCGCCAGUAUUCUGGCGGGCAUGCCUGUUCGAGCGUCAUUUCAACCCUCAAGCUCAGCUUGGUGUUGGGACUCGCGGUAACCCGCGUUCCCCAAAUCGAUUGGCGGUCACGUCGAGCUUCCAUAGCGUAGUAAUCAUACACCUCGUUACUGGUAAUCGUCGCGGCCACGCCGUAAAACCCCAACUUCUGAAUGUUGACCUCGGAUCAGGUAGGAAUACCCGCUGAACUUAAGCAUAUCAAUAAGC